RNAcentral lists this ribosomal RNA (369 nucleotides) under uncultured organism. Its description in RNAcentral is "partial 16S ribosomal RNA". It matches the Rfam family "Bacterial small subunit ribosomal RNA", at positions 527 to 896 of the family's 1533-position model. The record is from RNAcentral.
GUAGGGCGCAAGCGUUAAUCGGAAUUACUGGGCGUAAAGCGUGCGCAGGCGGUUGUGCAAGACCGAUGUGAAAUCCCCGGGCUUAACCUGGGAAUGGCAUUGGUGACUGCACGGCUAGAGUGUGUCAGAGGGGGGUAGAAUUCCACGUGUAGCAGUGAAAUGCGUAGAGAUGUGGAGGAAUACCGAUGGCGAAGGCAGCCCCCUGGGAUAACACUGACGCUCAUGCACGAAAGCGUGGGGAGCAAACAGGAUUAGAUACCCUGGUAGUCCACGCCCCUAAACGAUGUCAACUAGUUGUCGGGUCUUAAUUGACUUGGUAACGCAGCUAACGCGUGAAGUUGACCGCCUGGGAGUACGGUCGCAAGAUUA